This is a long non-coding RNA of Archocentrus centrarchus (flier cichlid), 182 nucleotides long. RefSeq lists it as uncharacterized. The transcript is spliced from 3 exons. NCBI's taxonomy places the organism in Eukaryota, Metazoa, Chordata, Actinopteri, Cichliformes, Cichlidae. The record is from RefSeq and is a predicted model, not a curated record.
UUUAAAGUUAGAAUUUUAUAUAAAGCAGCAAAAUACACAACUGCCCGCCUCAAACUUCCACAGGCAGAAACCAACACUGACCUGCAGACGGCAGAAGAAGGUGAUGUCAUACCGCAGAGAAAGCGAAAAAGACAACCAAACAUUCGCAUUCCAAGUGAUAGUGACAGCGACACACCUAUACA